This 254-nucleotide ribosomal RNA is filed under the name uncultured bacterium. RNAcentral's name for it is "partial 16S ribosomal RNA". It matches the Rfam family "Bacterial small subunit ribosomal RNA", at positions 524 to 776 of the family's 1533-position model. The record is from RNAcentral.
UACGGAGGGCGCGAGCGUUAUCCGGAAUCACUGGGCGUAAAGGGCGCGUAGGCGGCCCUGGUAAGUCUGCGGUGAAAGCCCGGGGCUCAACCCCGGGUCGGCCGCGGGUACUGCCGGGCUGGAGUGCCGUAGGGGCAGGCGGAAUUCCGGGUGUAGCGGUGGAAUGCGUAGAGAUCCGGAAGAACACCGGUGGCGAAGGCGGCCUGCUGGGCGGCGACUGACGCUGAGGCGCGACAGCGUGGGGAGCAAACAGG